Trifolium pratense (red clover) is the source of this 1390-nucleotide long non-coding RNA. RefSeq lists it as uncharacterized. The record is from RefSeq and is a predicted model, not a curated record. Lineage: Eukaryota; Viridiplantae; Streptophyta; Magnoliopsida; Fabales; Fabaceae. The transcript has 5 exons.
UUAGCAACACUUUUUUAUGCAACUUGUAUAAACUGUUACCUAAAAGUGGCUUAGCUAACAUGUUAUGACUGUUGCCAAUUCAUUUUAGGCAGCACUAGAUAAUUGUUCCCUGUAAUAGAAAAGGGAACAUUUUCGGACUGAUACUAUGAUAUUUCUUUGGCAAUAGUCAACAACUGUGCCUAUAGAUAUUUGUGGGGACAGUUUUAAGGCGUUACAUUAUUUCUUACAAAAGGCAACAUUUAUUAACAAUUGCUUUUAAUAUUCAACAUUAAAAAAAUAUUUAACUUUAUUAUAAAAUUAUUUUUACCACACUUGUUCAAAUUCAAUUAAAAGACUAAUCUACAUCAACAAAAAAAAAAGACUAAUCCCAUCCAAACACAGGCGUAGAGAAACCCAUCACACACAAAAACAAGUUUGAGAGUUAAACCCCCACAGUGUGGCUUCCUUCUCCUCCGUCUGCAAUUUUCGAAAAAAAAUCUCUUCAAACACCACAAAAUUGAAAAUCCACUUCAAUCUGUAGCUUUAUAAAUUAUCUCUCACCGCUCAAUCCCUAGAUUUUUAGGGUUUCUAAUCUAUUCUCUUACACCAUUCAAUCCCUAUUUUCCUAGAGUUUCUGAUCUAUUCCUCUUUCUCGUAUUUUUUUUAUGACCAAAAUCAAUGGCUUCAAUCUGGAGACCCUGUCUCAGUGGCGUCAUAAUUUCAUAGAUUAGCUAGCGGAGUUGGUUUCUACGAUAAGGGUUUCAUGAUUGAUCUGUAUGCUUUAGCUUAAGCACGAACACUGAGAAGGAAUUAGCAGAAUGCAGAUCUGGAUUUGUUGAAGGAUUUUUUCUAGUAUUUUCCACAGUGUUGACCAACAUCAACUUCUUAUAUCAGUGAAUAAUGCAUCACAACUAAGUGAGAAGGAGGAAUUAACUGAAACAUGCCUUAAAACAAACUACUUUGGUGUUGGUGAAUAAUGCAGCUCAAUUACUAACUGACUUGCUAUUUGAGUGAGUUGCCUACAAAGGAAGAAGAAUCAAAGAUUACUCUAAAUUGGACCCAACUUCUCAUUUCACAGGUUUUGCAUUGGAGCAAUACGAUGAAAAGGGAUUACGAUCAAAGAAAUGUUGGAAUUGAUAAAGAUCAUUGAAAAGUAACAGAAGGCAUGUUAUAGGUGCUUCUUCAUAUGAUUUUGCAACCAAUUCAAGAUUGGAGGCGAUGAAAGGAAAUUUACUAUUUACACCAAAAGUGUCCAAUUUUAGUUUUAUUAUGGUUUUUAGAAAAUAUUGUCUUAAUUUGUAUAGUCACAGUACAUGUUGCUCCCUUUUAGUACCAAUAGAAAGGAGGUACUCUGUUAUGCAAUUAUGUAAUACUACAAACAUUUGAAUGAAGGAGUUCAUAUAUUUGCUCA